RNA transcript from Zalophus californianus (California sea lion), 3346 nucleotides. It is a transcript of the gene named heat shock factor binding protein 1 like 1, with no coding region annotated. Lineage: Eukaryota; Metazoa; Chordata; Mammalia; Carnivora; Otariidae. The record is from RefSeq and is a predicted model, not a curated record. The transcript has 10 exons.
GGGACGGCCUUCCCUGCACAGGGCUCCUGAGCAGUCUUUCCUGCCAGGCUCUGAUGUCCCCUCCUAAGGGGCUCAGUGGUCAGCAGAGUGCCCUUCCUACAGCUCAUCAUUUUCUGUUACUCUUAAUUACUUCUCCAGUCCGUUUUCUCUCUCCUGCUCCCAUGCAAAUUCUGAGGGCAGGGACCCAGUCCAAGGACCUUGCCCAGCACCCAGACGUCUGUGGAAAAAUAUCUGAGGAUGUAUGAGUGACACGAAAUGAAGAUUACAGCCCAGCCAGCCGACAGACGUCCACCUGGCCCAGGUCCCCUCUGCUCUCACGGGCUCCUGGAACGCGCGCUGACGGUCACCCCCACAUUGCCGCUGCCGCCCGGUGCGACCCUCCACCAUCGGAGCCUGAGCCUGGCGGGAGAGGAGAAGAGGUGCACGAACCUCUGGAUACUUUGAGGACCUCAUGGAGAGGAAUCCACCCACAUCUACAGGUGGCCUUUUCAUUCUGCUGAUGUGCCCUUUGAUGGAUGUCCUCAGUGGGACGCCCUGCUCCCGGCCCUGUGCUGCGAUCUCAAACAACUCCGUGAGGUUGACAUGGGUCCCAAUCUUUGCCUUGCAUGGGUUAUUGUGGAGCUGAACGAAGGUGGAAAUAAUAAAUAUUAGCCCCUCUUCCAGAAAGUAUUUGGGUAUUCCCCUUUCUAUGACGCUUCUCCUAUCCUAGGUCAGCGGACGCAGCUUUGUCUCCCAGUUGCGUCCUGCUGGGAAUUUGUAGUAUUUGCGACCCCCCCCCACAAAACUAAGCCUUCCUUUUCCUCUCCCCGAAAGUCCCAGCAUCGUGGAGCCUGCUCCGACCCUGGCCCAACACUACCACACAUCACGGGUGCACAGAGGUAUUACACGAUGUGCUUGUCGAAAUGCAGAUUCCUGGGCUCAGGAAGGGCACCAAACGACUUGGAUGCUAUGGCUUGAGAACCACAGAGGAUGCUGUUUAACUGCCCAGACCCUGAACAGCCCACCUCCAGUGACUUCUGCCUCCAUUCCAGGCCACCCGCCCCCCGGCCAGCUCCACUUCUAGAAUCUUCCUAUCCACCCUAUGGAUUCUCUCUCCUGGUGACUGCAUGAACCCUCACCCCACACAAUUUCUCACCAUCCCCAACUCAGUGAGGAGACUGGUUCCGAGGCCCUUCCUUCUUAGGCCUCAGACUCUGAUGGGAGUUUCUCAGGCUCUACCUCCUGAAGGGGGCUUCUGGGCCACCUCUAUCAGAUCCACCUGGAGAGAACCUAUGACCUGCCCCUGGGCCUCCAGCCACUCUCUGGGCAGGGGGCCCCUGUCUUUGUUUCCCCAGGGGCUGCCGGGCACACGGAUGCUAACUGCCUUGGUCAGGCGGUCCUGGAAGCUUGAACUGAAUGAUCAGUUAAGGCCUGGCUGGGCAGACUCACAGACAGGCUCCUUGGGGAAGAGAAGCACAUGCAGGCUUCAUGGUGGGCGUACAGUGGGAUCUCACUGGGGCUUGACGGGCCUUCUCCUGAUGAUUGACGACAUUGGGCAUCUUUGCACGCAUGCUCGUGUUUCACACACACAUUCAACAACCCAGCCUGAGCAUCUCGGCGACAGGCCGCCGAAGCAGCCCUGCCGCCGCUGCCGGGACCUGUCCGGGUGCAGUGCAGCUGACCCCCGGGGGCCACCGGGCGCACCCGGAACCACCCGGCCCACUGGGACCACCCGGGCCCACGGGACCCACCAGGAACCACCGGGCCUACCCGGAACCACCCAGGCCCACGGGGCCCACCAGGCCCACCGGCAACCACCCGGCCCACCCGGAACCACCCGGCCCCCUGGGACCACCCGGGCCCACGGGACCCAUCGGGCCCACCGGGAACCACCCGACCACCCGGCCCGCCGGGACCAUCUGGACCACCUGGACCACUGGGCCCACGGGACUGCCCGGAACCACCCGGCCCACUGGGACCCAUUCGCCAUGGACGCGCGGGGACCCAAAGCCCCCGGCGGGGAUGCGCUGCGCGACGCGGCAGAAAAUCUAUUUCAGGAACUUCAAGAACAUUUUCAAGCUCUGACUGCAACGUUAAACCUCAGAAUGGAAGAAAUGGGAAAACGCAUUGAGGAUUUACAGAAGAAUGUUAAUGACCUAAUGGUGCAAGCUGGGAUUGAAAAUUCUAUUAAAGAACAAAUGAGGGUACACUGUAUAGUCACCUCCGGCUGCGAAUCCGCGCUGACCCCAUACGAACCCGCGCUGACCCCAUACGAAUCGAAUCCGCGCUGACCCCAUACGAACCCGCGCUGACCCCAUACGAAUCCGCACUGACUCCAUAUGUGGAAAAGGAAAAGCAUUUAACAUUUAUGUUCUUCGAUGUACUGAAUUUUUCCUAUCCACAAAUGUUUUAAUAAUUAUAGGAAAUUAAGGGCAGCCAGAAACCAGAUUGAUUUUGCUCAGGCCCAGGAGCUACUCAAACUUUUUUUUUAAGUAAAUUAAUUAAUGAAUUUCAAGAGUUUUUGAAAUACUUCGCAAUCUUUUAUAUGGUGCUUUUUGUCCAUGGAGAUGUGUGAGAGCUUAACCACUUUACCGAACAAGAGAAUCAAAGGCCAGAUGCAGGACAAGAGCUACCGCAGUGGCUGGGGAAGACUGACACAGUGUGCAAGGCAGUACAGACCUCACGGAGACACUGUCGGUGUUCUUCGUAUAGCGUUUGACGAUAAAGGCGAAAAUGCCACCAAAGAAUCCUGAAACCAGAUGUAUUUUAAAAGCCACUAAUAAAAAUAAUGUAGAAAAAACGAUUCAAAAUGGCACCCAUAUAAAGUGAGUCCUCCCAAAGUUCCCCAUUAUGAUUUUCAAGACAUCAAACUUUCCCAACUAGCACCUCGACUUUCAGAUAAGAAACCUGGUGAGGCCAUGAACAUACCCUGUAUUUUAACUGAGUAACCUGAAGAACCAAACUCUGGGUGCAGUUUCUGUUAACAUCAGUGAGUGGUUUUUAGGGUGGUUGUAGCUUUGAUUCCGUCAGUGCCCAGAACUCCUCAUUUCUUCUCUGCAUGGGCUCAGAACAGUAGGAAAGAGGCAGUCUACUGUAGGGACCCACACAUAACAAUCUACUGCAAACACACGAGGUUGCUGGUUGUUUGAAUGUUUCAGAUCUUUGUUCUGAAUGUCUGAAAACUGUAAGUAAAUGACAUCAUGCCACGGUAUCUUUCUGUACCUAGCUUUUCCAUUUAGCAGUUUGAAAUUCAUCUGUAUCCAUGUGUGUAGCUCUACUUCAGUCACUAGCAGCUGUGUAAUAACCCUUUGAAUUUUGUUUUCCAUUUGACUAACAAUUGUUUCCAAGUAAUCCUGCAAUAAACACA